UUUAGUUAUUGGAUUUCUCCUCAGACGACACUGAUGACGGGGUUUGGAAGGCCUCCGGCGGGGCCGCGGGAAGGCGCCCGGGGUGAAUGCCCGGGACCACCGGCGCGGACCGCGCGCCGAAGCAACAACGGUGGGUACGCACAGGGUGAAGAGUGGGGGCCGAAGCCCCCCGGGGACGCGAGGUCCUCCUCUCGGUAAUGAUCCUUCCGCAGGUUCACCUACGGAAA
Molecule: unclassified non-coding RNA, 227 nt
Filed under: uncultured fungus
Lineage: Eukaryota; Fungi
Description: sequence contains ITS1
Source: RNAcentral